UUUGUUUUAGAUAGCCAUUGUGUGAAUUGUUUAGCUUUAUUCGGUAAAACUGAUGAUUACAAGUGUGGGAAAAAACAGUCUCAAUUUAUUUGAGAACUUUAAGUGAAUGAGAAACGUAACUCGCUUGAUUUAUGUCUUGCAUUGAAUGUGACUGCCUAGUAAAUCAUUUAUGGAAAAACAGAACUUGUUCUGUGAGAUGAAUCGAACGUCCGUUUAAGUUGCCUGACGCGGCACUCACAAGAUAUCACAGUAUUGCGUUUGGUGGUCUAGCUAGUAAGACGAUGGUCGUGAAAUUUGGGAGCCACUAAAAUGUGUGUAACAACUCACAUAUCGAAUUAACCAGUUUUAUAGCGCUCAAGCGUUAGACAUAUACUGGACCGUUGUCGUUAACCGGAUCUAUGUUGUGUAAGGUCAAGCUGCUCUUAGUCUCGGGAUACAGUAACGGCAACAACGACAAGAAAAAUCUCUGCGGCCAGCGGAAGCUUCAGGCAUGAAUCCAGGUAAAUCAACCACAGGUG
This 518-nucleotide non-coding RNA is filed under the name Schistosoma margrebowiei. Its description in RNAcentral is "Eukaryotic large subunit ribosomal RNA". It matches the Rfam family "Eukaryotic large subunit ribosomal RNA", at positions 967 to 1444 of the family's 3401-position model. Lineage: Eukaryota; Metazoa; Platyhelminthes; Trematoda; Strigeidida; Schistosomatidae. The record is from Rfam by way of RNAcentral.